GACGAACGCUGGCGGCGUGCUUAACACAUGCAAGUCGAACGGAAAGGCCCUGCUUUUGUGGGGUGCUCGAGUGGCGAACGGGGGUGUAACACGUGAGUAACCCGCCCUUGUCUUUGGGAUAACUCCAGGAAACUGGGGCUAAUACCGGAUAGGAGCUCCUGCUGCACGGUGGGGGUUGGAAAGUUUCGGCGGUUGGGGAUGGACUCGCGGGAUAUCAGCCUGUUGGGGGGGUUGUGGCUUACCAAGGUUUUGACGGGUAGGCGGCCUUGGAGGGGGACCGGCGACAAUGGGACUACGGGACGGACCAGACGCCUACGGUAGGCAGCGGUGGGAAAUUUGACGGAGUGGCCGGAAGUCUGAGGCAGCAACCCCGCGUGCGUAAUGACGUCCUACGAGGUAUAAACCAAUGUCGCCUGUAACGAAGCGGUAGUGACGGUAAUUAGUAAAGAAGCACCGGCUAACUACGUG
Molecule: ribosomal RNA, 468 nt
Filed under: uncultured bacterium
Lineage: Bacteria
Description: partial 16S ribosomal RNA
Rfam family: Bacterial small subunit ribosomal RNA
Source: RNAcentral